RNAcentral lists this ribosomal RNA (900 nucleotides) under uncultured Stenotrophomonas sp. Its description in RNAcentral is "bacterial SSU rRNA". It matches the Rfam family "Bacterial small subunit ribosomal RNA", at positions 153 to 1047 of the family's 1533-position model. Lineage: Bacteria; Pseudomonadati; Pseudomonadota; Gammaproteobacteria; Lysobacterales; Lysobacteraceae. The record is from RNAcentral.
GAAACUUACGCUAUACCGCAUACGACCUACGGGUGAAAGCAGGGGAUCUUCGGACCUUGCGCGAUUGAAUGAGCCGAUGUCGGAUUAGCUAGUUGGCGGGGUAAAGGCCCACCAUGGCGACGAUCCGUAGCUGGUUGAGAGGAUGAUCAGCCACACUGGAAAUGAGACACGGUCCAGACUCCUACGGGAGGCAGCAGUGGGGAAUAUUGGACAAUGGGCGCAAGCCUGAUCCAGCCAUACCGCGUGGGUGAAGAAGGCCUUCGGGUUGUAAAGCCCUUUUGUUGGGAAAGAAAUCCAGCCGGCUAAUACCUGGUUGGGAUGACGGUACCCAAAGAAUAAGCACCGGCUAACUUCGUGCCAGCAGCCGCGGUAAUCGAAGGGUGCCAGCGUUACUUGGAAUUACUGGGCGUAAAGCGUGCGUAGGUGGUUGUUUAAGUCUGUUGUGAAAGCCCUGGGCUCAACCUGGGAACUGCAGUGGAAACUGGACAACUAGAGUGUGGUAGAGGGUAGCGGAAUUCCCGGUGUAGCAGUGAAAUGCGUAGAGAUCGGGAGGAACAUCCAUGGCGAAGGCAGCUACCUGGACCAACACUGACACUGAGGCACGAAAGCGUGGGGAGCAAACAGGAUUAGAUACCCUGGUAGUCCACGCCCUAAACGAUGCGAACUGGAUGUUGGGUGCAAUUUGGCACGCAGUAUCGAAGCUAACGCGUUAAGUUCGCCGCCUGGGGAGUACGGUCGCAAGACUGAAACUCAAAGGAAUUGACGGGGGCCCGCACAAGCGGUGGAGUAUGUGGUUUAAUUCGAUGCAACGCGAAGAACCUUACCUGGCCUUGACAUGUCAGAGAACUUUACGCAGAGAUGGAUUGGUGCCUUCGGGAACUCGAACACAGGUGCUGCAUG